CACCGGCGGCCCGAGUGGUAACCGCUUUUAUUGGGUCUAAAGGGUCUGUAGCCGGCCAAGUAAGUCCUUUGGGAAAUCUGGUAGCUCAACUAUCAGGCUGCCAGGGGAUACUGCUUGGCUUGGGACCGGGAGAGGUGAGAGGUACCUCGGGGGUAGGGGUGAAAUCUUGUGAUCCUCGAGGGACCACCAGUGGCGAAGGCGUCUCACCAGAACGGGUCCGACGGUAAGGGACGAAAGCUAGGGGCACGAACCGGAUUAGAUACCCGGGUAGUCCUAGCCGUAAACGAUGCUCGCCAGGUGUCAGUCACGGUGCGACCGUGAUAGGUGCCGUAGGGAAGCCGUGAAGCGAGCCACCGUGGGAAGUAUGGCCGCAAGGCCUAGAAACUUAAAGGAAUUGGCGGGGGAGCACUACGAACGGGUGGAGCCUGCGGUUC
Molecule: ribosomal RNA, 434 nt
Filed under: uncultured archaeon
Lineage: Archaea
Description: bacterial SSU rRNA
Rfam family: Archaeal small subunit ribosomal RNA
Source: RNAcentral